RNAcentral lists this ribosomal RNA (398 nucleotides) under uncultured bacterium. RNAcentral's name for it is "bacterial SSU rRNA". It matches the Rfam family "Bacterial small subunit ribosomal RNA", at positions 369 to 758 of the family's 1533-position model. The record is from RNAcentral.
CCAUGGGCGGGGCGAAGUCUGACCGCAACGCCGCGUGUGGGAAGAAGGCCUUCGGGUUGUAAACCCUUUUGUACGGAACGAAACAGUCUGCCCUAAUACGGUGGGCUAAUGACGGUACCGUAAGAAUAAGCACCGGCUAACUACGUGCCAGCAGCCGCGGUAAUACGUAGGGUGCGAGCGUUAAUCGGAAUUACUGGGCGUAAAGCGUGCGCAGGCGGUUAUAUAAGACAGUUGUGAAAUCCCCGGGCUCAACCUGGGAAUUGCAUCUGUGACUGUAUAACUGGAGUACGGGGGAGGGGGAUGGAAUUCCGCGUGUAGCAGUGAAAUGCGUAGAUAUGCGGAGGAACACCGAUGGCGAAGGCAAUCCCCUGGACCUGUACUGACGCUCAUGCACGAAA